Molecule: ribosomal RNA, 610 nt
Filed under: uncultured bacterium
Lineage: Bacteria
Description: bacterial SSU rRNA
Rfam family: Bacterial small subunit ribosomal RNA (bases 1-530)
Source: RNAcentral
CCUACGGGAGGCAGCAGUAAGGAAUAUUGGUCAAUGGACGAAAGUCUGAACCAGCCAUGCCGCGUGAAGGAUGACGGCCCUCUGGGUUGUAAACUUCUUUUAUCUGGGACGAAAAAAGGGAAUUCUUUCUCACUUGACGGUACCAGAGGAAUAAGCACCGGCUAACUCCGUGCCAGCAGCCGCGGUAAUACGGAGGGUGCAAGCGUUAUCCGGAUUCACUGGGUUUAAAGGGAGCGUAGGUGGGCAGGUAAGUCAGUGGUGAAAUCUCCGGGCUUAACCCGGAAACUGCCAUUGAUACUAUUUGUCUUGAAUUAUCUGGAGGUAAGCGGAAUAUGUCAUGUAGCGGUGAAAUGCUUAGAUAUGACAUAGAACACCCAUUGCGAAGGCAGCUUACUACGGGAUAUAUUGACACUGAGGCUCGAAAGCGUGGGGAUCAAACAGGAUUAGAUACCCUGGUAGUCCACGCCCUAAACGAUGGAUACUCACANCANCGAUACACUGUGUGUNUGAGNGAAGAGAUAGUAUCCACCNGGAGUACGACCGCGAGUAGUUAAGUUACUAAUUAGAGUUAGNGGCGNGAGAGNGCGACGGACGACGACGAGGGAGGAGG